This 585-nucleotide ribosomal RNA is filed under the name Botryosphaeria dothidea. RNAcentral's name for it is "eukaryotic LSU rRNA". The stretch from base 210 to 363 matches the Rfam family "5.8S ribosomal RNA". Lineage: Eukaryota; Fungi; Ascomycota; Dothideomycetes; Botryosphaeriales; Botryosphaeriaceae. The record is from RNAcentral.
UCCGUAGGUGAACCUGCGGAAGGAUCAUUACCGAGUUGAUUCGGGCUCCGGCCCGAUCCUCCCACCCUUUGUGUACCUACCUCUGUUGCUUUGGCGGGCCGCGGUUCUCCGCGGCCGCCCCCCUCCCCGGGGGGUGGCCAGCGCCCGCCAGAGGACCAUCAAACUCCAGUCAGUAAACGAUGCAGUCUGAAAAACAUUUAAUAAACUAAAACUUUCAACAACGGAUCUCUUGGUUCUGGCAUCGAUGAAGAACGCAGCGAAAUGCGAUAAGUAAUGUGAAUUGCAGAAUUCAGUGAAUCAUCGAAUCUUUGAACGCACAUUGCGCCCUUUGGUAUUCCGAAGGGCAUGCCUGUUCGAGCGUCAUUACAACCCUCAAGCUCUGCUUGGUAUUGGGCACCGUCCUUUGCGGGCGCGCCUCAAAGACCUCGGCGGUGGCGUCUUGCCUCAAGCGUAGUAGAACAUACAUCUCGCUUCGGAGCGCAGGGCGUCGCCCGCCGGACGAACCUUCUGAACUUUUCUCAAGGUUGACCUCGGAUCAGGUAGGGAUACCCGCUGAACUUAAGCAGCAUAUCAAUAAGCGGAGGA